CAGCCUGCAGUGGGUACGGGCAGACUAGAGUGCGGUAGGGGAGAUUGGAAUUCCUGGUGUAGCGGUGGAAUGCGCAGAUAUCAGGAGGAACACCGAUGGCGAAGGCAGAUCUCUGGGCCGUAACUGACGCUGAGGAGCGAAAGGGUGGGGAGCAAACAGGCUUAGAUACCCUGGUAGUCCACCCCGUAAACGUUGGGAACUAGUUGUGGGGUCCAUUCCACGGAUUCCGUGACGCAGCUAACGCAUUAAGUUCCCCGCCUGGGGAGUACGGCCGCAAGGCUAAAACUCAAAGGAAUUGACGGGGACCCGCACAAGCGGCGGAGCAUGCGGAUUAAUUCGAUGCAACGCGAAGAACCUUACCAAGGCUUGACAUAUACGAGAACGGGCCAGAAAUGGUCAACUCUUUGGACACUCGUAAACAGGUGGUGCAUGGUUGUCGUCAGCUCGUGUCGUGAGAUGUUGGGUUAAGUCCCGCAACGAGCGCAACCCUCGUUCUAUGUUGCCAGCACGUAAUGGUGGGAACUCAUGGGAUACUGCCGGGGUCAACUCGGAGGAAGGUGGGGAUGACGUCAAAUCAUCAUGCCCCUUAUGUCUUGGGCUUCACGCAUGCUACAAUGGCCGGUACAAAGGGCUGCAAUACCGCGAGGUGGAGCGAAUCCCAAAAAGCCGGUCCCAGUUCGGAUUGAGGUCUGCAACUCGACCUCAUGAAGUCGGAGUCGCUAGUAAUCGCAGAUCAGCAACGCUGCGGUGAAUACGUUCCCGGGUCUUGUACACACCGCCCGUCAAGUCAUGAAAGUCGGUAACACCUGAAGCCGGUGG
RNAcentral lists this ribosomal RNA (819 nucleotides) under Microbacterium sp. RNAcentral describes it as "bacterial SSU rRNA". It matches the Rfam family "Bacterial small subunit ribosomal RNA", at positions 617 to 1433 of the family's 1533-position model. Lineage: Bacteria; Bacillati; Actinomycetota; Actinomycetes; Micrococcales; Microbacteriaceae. The record is from RNAcentral.